This is a non-coding RNA of Bombyx mori (domestic silkworm), 106 nucleotides long. Lineage: Eukaryota; Metazoa; Arthropoda; Insecta; Lepidoptera; Bombycidae. The record is from RefSeq and is marked provisional.
CGUGCAGAGCAGCUUGCAAGUCAUUUUCUUAGGCCCCCCUCGCCGGUCCCCAGACCGACAUGUGAGGGGGACCCGAAACACUUAGAGGGUUGUUGUACCUGGGCGG